CAGUAGCCGCGGGAAUACGAAGGGUGCAGGCGUUAAUCGGAAUUACUGGGCGUAAAGCGUGCGUAGGCGGUUUGUUAAGUCUGUUGUGAAAUCCCCGGGCUCAACCUGGGAAUGGCAAUGGAUACUGGCAAGCUAGAGUGUGUCAGAGGAUGGUGGAAUUCCCGGUGUAGCGGUGAAAUGCGUAGAUAUGCGGAGGAACACCGAUGGCGAAGGCAGCCCCCUGGGCCAACACUGACGCUCAUGCACGAAAGCGUGGGAGCAAACAGGAUUAGAUACCCGGUAGUCCCUGUCUCUUAUACUC
RNAcentral lists this ribosomal RNA (301 nucleotides) under uncultured bacterium. Its description in RNAcentral is "partial 16S ribosomal RNA". It matches the Rfam family "Bacterial small subunit ribosomal RNA", at positions 509 to 811 of the family's 1533-position model. The record is from RNAcentral.